CCCGCCACUAUCCCAGUCUGUCCCGUGACGCGGUCUAGUCCAGUGGAGGCUAACAGUAUCCCAGCUUUAGGAAACAGGGCUGCCCACAUGAAUGGGUGACUCUGUGCCGAAAAGUCUGGAACAUGA
Molecule: small nucleolar RNA, 126 nt
Organism: Oryzias javanicus (javanese ricefish)
Lineage: Eukaryota; Metazoa; Chordata; Actinopteri; Beloniformes; Adrianichthyidae
Source: Ensembl